Non-coding RNA from Misgurnus anguillicaudatus (oriental weatherfish), 1005 nucleotides. The record is from RefSeq and is a predicted model, not a curated record. Lineage: Eukaryota; Metazoa; Chordata; Actinopteri; Cypriniformes; Cobitidae.
GAGAGAAAAAUCCUAUGAAGCACUGAGAAAAAUGAUCCACGAGGCUCACGAACUCCCGCCAAACUCAGGAAAUACAGCCCCAGUCCUGCCCCGAGUGCAGCGGAUUCGCGGGAAAACGCUGCCACGGUACGGAACGGGAAGAGGCGGGUCAUAUGACGUCAAACAUCACCGUUGCCAUCAUUUAUACAUCAGGGCUGUGAACCUGGAUGCAUUAUGGAUGAGGUUCUCCCUCACCAACCUCUGCAGAUGGAUGCAAGAUGUGUACAGACUUUAGCAGACCAGCGGGACUGAUGACCUUCAGAGAUUGGAAAGUGUUGGAGUUCGCCACAUCAGAAAAGAGCAAAGAGAACAAAGCCAAAAAAUACAGACAGUAAUCCGAACUUGAUCAUCAGUUCAGUUUCCUUCAGAUCUGUCCAUUGGUGUUUUGAGGAAGUAAUGGGUUUGCUCUUCGGUUGUCGUUCCGAAUCCCUCUGGGCAGAUGGGAUUGUUACUGAACAGAUUGUGCAGGUGUAGGAGGACGUGGCACCUGUCCAGACGUCUAACAAGAGAAGACAAGUGCUGCUUCUGCUAAACACAGUCCUAUCUGAAGUCAUACGCAUGCCUCUGGUUAAGAAAUCAUUUACUGUGUGACCCUCGAGAGUUUGAAUAGCCUUUAAAUUUGUAACGGCGUGAUACUGAGCCAACAAGCAAAUCAGCGUUCAUUUAACUCAUCUGUUUUGAGGAUGAGCUAACAGCGUGUUUCUUUUCAGAGUCGUUCCAAACUAGUGCCAUUUGAGUCCACGACAUAUGGUACUCCGUUUACAGCCUGGAUUGGGGGUUCGGAUUGAUUUGUCUAUAAUUCAAAUUAAAGGGCACCUUUUAUGCCAAUUUUUACAGGAUGUAAUAAAAAUCUCAGGUGUGCCCAGAAUGUGUCUGUGAAGUUUCUGUUCAAAAUCAUUUGUUACUACAUAUCCAAAAUGCCCCUAUUUAGGUGGGAGCAAAAAUGUGCUGUUUUCGUGUCCGUAU